Mandrillus leucophaeus (drill) is the source of this 107-nucleotide small nuclear RNA. The record is from Ensembl. Lineage: Eukaryota; Metazoa; Chordata; Mammalia; Primates; Cercopithecidae.
GUGCUUGCUUUAGAAGCAUAUAUACUAAAAUUGGAAUGAUACAGACAAGAUUAGCAUGGCCUCUGUGCUUGUGUGAGACACAAAUUUGUGAAGCAUUCUAUAGUUUU